UACGAAGGGGGCUAGCGUUGCUCGGAAUCACUGGGCGUAAAGCGCACGUAGGCGGCUUUCUAAGUCAGGGGUGAAAUCCUGGAGCUCAACUCCAGAACUGCCUUUGAUACUGGAGAGCUUGAGUCCGGAAGAGGUGAGUGGAACUCCGAGUGUAGAGGUGAAAUUCGUAGAUAUUCGGAGGAACACCAGUGGCGAAGGCGGCUCACUGGUCCAUUACUGACGCUGAGGUGCGAAAGCGUGGGGAGCAAACAGG
This 253-nucleotide ribosomal RNA is filed under the name uncultured bacterium. RNAcentral describes it as "partial 16S ribosomal RNA". It matches the Rfam family "Bacterial small subunit ribosomal RNA", at positions 524 to 776 of the family's 1533-position model. The record is from RNAcentral.